CUCUACUCAUAGUCUAUUUUCCUAUAUACCACUAUAUUUUCCCCUUUACUUCUCGAUUUUUCUCUGUGAAUUCUCCUGUUGGCAUAUGCCGAUAGUUUAUCCAACUUUGUUCUAUUUGAAUUUGCUGCGAGCUCUUUUAAUUUAGUCUGUUGUUUGUGCAAUUUUCUUUGUUUAUUGCCCUUCUUCUAUUGCUAAUCUAAAUUUUGGUUGGUAAAUGUUUGUUUUCUACUGUUUUGCAUAAUUGUUGCUAGAAUAUUUACAUACAUAUCAAUAAAUAUUCCUGAUUUGCACAUUUACUAUGUUUUUUUUAUGAAAUUUGUUCGUUUUCUGCUGUUUGGCAUAAUUCUUGCUAGAAUUUUUACAUAUAUGUCAGUAAUUGUUCUUGAUUUGCACAUUUACUUUAUUUGUUUGAUGAAAUUUAUCUUUUUAUCAAAAUUUUGUGGUAUCAAUAUUCGUUUGAAGAUUGGGUCUCUUAAUUUACGUUAUUUUUUUCCUGCAGAUUAACCUAUCUAAAGAUGCAAUUCUGAAAUAGGAGACAAACACGGAGAGAUGGAGGACGGGCUGAUCGGUGGUUACCGUUAAUAUACACCUGGAGAUAAUUUUAAGAGUUUCAAGUAGUUCAAAGAUAUCGCAAUUUUUUACAAAUUGGUGGCAAUUAAGGAUUGAUAGUUUGACAUUUGAAAAAGCGAAAUCAGUUGCUCUGUCCUUCUUUGCUAUUCGGGUUUACAGGAGCAGCUUUUCCUAUGGCAAAAAAUACUGAAGCUACUGCCCACAAGUCCAAAAAUGAAUCUAAGGUAAAAAUUUUUUUUACUUUUCCCUAAUGAUAAAAUUUGUUCUGUUGGAUUAUGGUUUAUUUUCGAGAUUCUGAUUUCUAAUGUUUUAUUUGAAUUUAGUUUGGAAUGAUAAACUAAUGAUCUUGUGUAUGUUUGUAAUGAAGAUUUGGAGGGAUAGGACUAUGGUUAUCUUGGAACUUGUAUUUUCAAAGGUUGUAGUUGGUAAAAUAUUGGUUAUAUGCUUUGUGCCCCAGAUAUAUGUAUCUUGAGAAUCCAAAUUUCCCAAGGCUGUAAAAAUUAUUGUUAAAAGUUAUGAUAUCAUCAUAAUGGGAAAUUAAAAUGCAAGCACAUUUUUACAAGUAGCAAGUGAGUUAGGCAUUGGUUGUUUGAGAUAAAUACUCCAGUUAAAUCUCAAAACUCUUUAUAUUAGGAAUGGUUUGUCAUUUCAUUCUGGGUCGAGUUACUUUGAAGAUAGUUGAGACAUAAAGAUAGUUGACCAAAUACGUGAAGUGAUAAGAAUUAGCGACUUUGAGAAAUUAUUUUAACUUCCCUCAUGGAAUUGAUCCAUUGAAAAACCUACAGUUUGAUCCGAUUCAAGGAAAUUAGUAGUUUCUUCUGUGAUUUGUUUCUACAAGGUCUUAAUUUUAUUUGUUGAUUCUAAUCUUCUAAAAUACAUAUUUGAGCCUACAACUUGGGUAUAAAUGUGAUCAUGAGCUAUUAUUGAAGUAUUGUCUACUAGCUCUGGCACUAGGAGUAUGUCAGCAAGUAAGUUGUAAUGCUAAGGAUUACCAUGCUAAGAAAUUGCUUAUACUUUCCAGUUCUGCUGCACCAAGUAAGAUAUAAGCCUCAAAAUUUAUGGAUAUUGCUAGCAGAGAAAAAAAAUACUUGGACUUCCAUUAGGGUGAGAACAUCUUUAUGUGGCAACAAACAUCUGUAAUAGAAACAUAGAAUGUCGCAAAUAUUUGUGUGCUUAUCAUCUUCUUAUGCAACAUUCUUCAACUUGGGAUACAUGUUUCUGCACUAGAUGGCCUCUUUUCCAAUAUUCAAUCAUCAAAAAGGGUGUACAAAUGAUAAAGUAAAUGCUAACAAUGUUUUUUUUUUACAAUGUCAAGAAGGGAAAUGUAGGAUUGGCCACUAGAACUAUGAUGAAAUUCCUAGAAUUCCUCUAAGAUUAGAAGACGGCUAUACAUUUUCUUUUUUUGGUCAUUUGAACUGAAAAUUCCAGCACUACCUUAUUGCCAUUUCAAAGAAAAAAGGAACUCAAUUAAAUUAGGAAUGACCAAGAGUAUCUUGCAACUUAACAAGGUACGUGAAAGACUUUAUAUAUAUAAUAUGCAUUUUCCUUCUGUAUUGCUUAUAUUAUGUAAUUAUUGGCUUUGCUUUCAGGUAGUAUGGUCGAUUGACGACAUCUUUGAUAUGCUUCACUUGGCUAGACUAUCAAUUUUGGUGUCAUUCUGUUGCAUAGCCUCUCAAAAAUUCGUAAAUUAUUAAUCUUAAUUAAAGAAUUAUAAGUGUCAUGACUUAAAGUACUUAAUAAAAAAAUCUUGCGUUGAUUUGACUGCACUCCUAAAUUAAGGGGGUAUCAUUGUGAGAUAGCGUAUAAAGGAAAAGUGAUUACUCAAAUUUUGGAUGACAAGAGUAGUAGUUUUUGCCAAAAAUAUUACCUAUGCAGAAAAUGUUCAGAAUAUGGAAUCUUUUAGUGUAUAUUUAGGUGUCAAAUCAUUAGCUACCAGUUUAAUAUGAAAAACACUUCUGAAAGUAUUUGUGUGCCAUUCUCAUGUACUAUCUGACUUAACAAAAAUAUGGAAAAGGGUGUUUAAAAAUAUUUGUGUGCCCUUUUCAUGUACUAUUUAACUUAUCAGAAGUAUGAAAAAGGGCGUUGAAUCAACUACUCAAUAUUAUACUUCAAAUUUAAUUUGUCACAAAUAAUUAGAUAUUUCAGCGUGCUUCUCUCCUAUCUGUGCUUCUCUCCUUGUCACAAAUAAUUACAUUUCUCAUUCUAAGCAUGGAGAAAUUUUCAUUUUCCAUUCUCGGAUGUGUAUUUAUUGGUUGCAAUAUUGGAUAUUACCUUAGCCUUGGCAGUGAUUAUGUCUCAAUAUGGUUCCUCUGAGGAGUUGUUACUAUGCAUGAUGAUUGAAUAUCAGCUCUAAUUUGAAAGAAUUUCACAUCUGCUAUUGUGAGAAUAAUUUCUAGCAUUUCAUUCACCUCCAUUGCACUCAUUAAGUUAGCUUUUUGAAAUUGAUAAUUUUGCUCCUGGUUCUGAAUAUGGAGUUGCCAUUUCUUGUUUUUACUCCUGCUGCCAUGUUCUGGUGGUUGGAUAAUGGAUAUCCAACAAGAAUACCGAUGAUGUUUGAGUUUUGACACGAUUCAAGAAACUUUUGGUUCUAAUGUAAUAACUCAUAAGCUUUGAUUGAUGUUUACUUGUCUUUUGAAGGUACUAUAAAACUUCUUAUACGUUCUUCUGUUCAUUGUGCUCUUGUUUCUAGUAUAACAAGAGCGACUGAUUUGGGUACUUUACCUGAUACACAAAAGGGAAUAAGCGGUUAAAUGUGCUUGUGAUAUGUCUGUGCGUGAAAAUACACACUUCAUGUAUUCUGUGGGUAUUGCAUCAAUAAUACCUGAUUGUAAUCGUUAA
Molecule: long non-coding RNA, 3408 nt
Organism: Nicotiana tabacum (common tobacco)
Lineage: Eukaryota; Viridiplantae; Streptophyta; Magnoliopsida; Solanales; Solanaceae
Source: RefSeq, a predicted model, not a curated record